CUGUAAGCUCUAAGACAGGCAUCUC
This 25-nucleotide non-coding RNA is filed under the name Cricetulus griseus (Chinese hamster). Lineage: Eukaryota; Metazoa; Chordata; Mammalia; Rodentia; Cricetidae. The record is from RNAcentral.